AGGAUUAUAGUUUAAAAAAACUUUUGAUUUGCAAUCAAAAAAUAUUAAUAUUAUAUUUAAUUUAUCUUA
Molecule: transfer RNA, 69 nt
Filed under: Phocoderma betis
Lineage: Eukaryota; Metazoa; Arthropoda; Insecta; Lepidoptera; Limacodidae
Description: tRNA-Ala
Source: RNAcentral